CUUCACUCAGUUUUCCCCUGCUAUACUUUGUUGAGGAUCAGUAGAGAAUCAAUUCUCAUUAGCUCCCCAGUCUCUACCAUGUCUCUCUUAUAAAUCCUAUGAAAUGACUCCAUGAAAAAAAUCAAGGAGCAGAGACGAAGAAUUAGAGAGUGAAGCUCUCCCAAAUGAGGCCUGAUCCACCUUUUGUUGCCAAACACUUCUAGCUCCACGACUCCACUAUGAUAUGAUCCACCAAAAGGAUGGAUCUAACCCUAGUUUCAUCAAAUUGAUGGAGCAGUUCACGAGUGCUCCAUCAAAUCCAAGUUUGGUGGAGUUGAGAAAAAUUAUCUACCGUGUCACUAUUUAGGUGAGUGAAAAAUAGUUUAUUUUUCUUUGUCUGUCUUCGGCAUCUCUUCUUCUCCCCAACCCUUUAUGAAGACCUAUUGAGCCCCACGCUAGUCGCACCGCACCCCGUCAACUAACCAUCCCACAUUCAUUUAUUCAGUUAUUCCGGUUUGAAAGGCCAGUGCUCAAGUCAUAAUGCCCUCUCUAUGCCCGUAUAAAUGUGGGUGGUUAAUAUUAUAAGAUAAUGUGCAUCACCUCAUGGAAUGAGUCAUCACUGAUAUACAAUUCUUUCUAAAGUGGUUACAUAAUCUAAUAUCUACAUUCUACACUACUACAAUAUUUUUAAUCGAGGCAGGCAAAGUGCUUAAUUGAGGCGAACAGACCAACUGCCUUGGACCAAAGAUCACGGUAAGUGAGACCUUUUUUAAAGCGAUUGCCUGCCUACCUUGGCUAAUCAAAUUAAAAAAAUAAAAAAACCAAAACCCAUGGACAAGCCCAAUGAACUCAUCCAUGGGCCCGCUAAGCUUAGCCCAUUCAAGGGCUGCCAUCACCACAUCUCACCGGACACGAGGAUCUGGCUGUCCACCAUCGGAUCUAGCCUCCAACCACUAGAUCUAUGGCAAGAGAGGGUAGAGGGAGGAGCGUUGUUGUAACUUGCCCACAUUGUCUCCGGGCUUUCCUCGCCCACGACGCCAUGCUAGAGGAAGAGGAGGUGACCACGUCACCUCGCACGGAUCUAGGAUCCCCACCACCGGAUCCAUGCUCUCCGUGCCGCGUCAUGCCGGAUCUGGAGGGAGGGGCGCCACUCCAAGAGGGGCCCAUGUGGCCACGCUAGAGAAGAAGGAGGUGGCAGCCGCGGAGACCUCAUGUAGGGCCACCACCAUCGGAGUUAGAGGGGCAUUGUUGAUAUUAGUUAUGCACACAAAAGGAUCAAAGAAAAAUAAUCCGCAAGCGCAU
RNAcentral lists this long non-coding RNA (1281 nucleotides) under Sorghum bicolor (sorghum). RNAcentral's name for it is "long non-coding RNA (SBIC_LNC002310)". The record is from RNAcentral. Lineage: Eukaryota; Viridiplantae; Streptophyta; Magnoliopsida; Poales; Poaceae.